AUAUCUGAUUAGCUAGUUGGUAGGGUAAAAGCCUACCAAGGCAUCGAUCAGUAGCUGGUCUGAGAGGACGACCAGCCACACUGGAACUGAGACACGGUCCAGACUCCUACGGGAGGCAGCAGUGGGGAAUUUUGGACAAUGGGCGAAAGCCUGAUCCAGCAAUGCCGCGUGAGUGAAGAAGGCCUUCGGGUUGUAAAGCUCUUUUGUCAGGGAAGAAACGGUGAAAGCUAAUAUCUUUUGCUAAUGACGGUACCUGAAGAAUAAGCACCGGCUAACUACGUGCCAGCAGCCGCGGUAAUACGUAGGGUGCAAGCGUUAAUCGGAAUUACUGGGCGUAAAGCGUGCGCAGGCGGUUUUGUAAGUCUGAUGUGAAAUCCCCGGGCUCAACCUGGGAAUUGCAUUGGAGACUGCAAGGCUAGAAUCUGGCAGAGGGGGGUAGAAUUCCACGUGUAGCAGUGAAAUGCGUAGAUAUGUGGAGGAACACCGAUGGCGAAGGCAGCCCCCUGGGUCAAGAUUGACGCUCAUGCACGAAAGCGUGGGGAGCAAACAGGAUUAGAUACCCUGGUAGUCCACGCCCUAAACGAUGUCUACUAGUUGUCGGGUCUUAAUUGACUUGGUAACGCAGCUAACGCGUGAA
RNAcentral lists this ribosomal RNA (637 nucleotides) under uncultured bacterium. RNAcentral describes it as "bacterial SSU rRNA". It matches the Rfam family "Bacterial small subunit ribosomal RNA", at positions 233 to 863 of the family's 1533-position model. The record is from RNAcentral.